UACGGAGGGUGCAAGCGUUAUCCGGAUUCACUGGGUUUAAAGGGUGCGUAGGCGGGCAGGUAAGUCAGUGGUGAAAUCUUCGAGCUUAACUCGGAAACUGCCUUUGAUACUAUCUGUCUUGAAUAUGGUGGAGGUAAGCGGAAUAAUGUCAUGUAGCGGUGAAAUGCUUAGAGAUGACAUAGAACACCUAUUGCGAAGGCAGCUUACUACGCCUAUAUUGACGCUGAGGCACGAAAGCGUGGGGAUCAAACAGG
This 254-nucleotide ribosomal RNA is filed under the name uncultured bacterium. Its description in RNAcentral is "partial 16S ribosomal RNA". It matches the Rfam family "Bacterial small subunit ribosomal RNA", at positions 524 to 776 of the family's 1533-position model. The record is from RNAcentral.